This 21-nucleotide non-coding RNA is filed under the name Caenorhabditis elegans. Lineage: Eukaryota; Metazoa; Nematoda; Chromadorea; Rhabditida; Rhabditidae. The record is from RNAcentral.
UCCAAGGCGCGAUAUUGAAUU